Molecule: long non-coding RNA, 841 nt
Filed under: Homo sapiens (human)
Lineage: Eukaryota; Metazoa; Chordata; Mammalia; Primates; Hominidae
Description: non-protein coding lnc-DHX37-9:3
Source: RNAcentral
GCACCCAUGCUGGGCUAAGACAAGGGGCAGAGGCAGAGAGAGAGAGAGGAGCCACCCUGAGAAGGAAGAGACCAGGUGGGCUCUGAGACAGGGAGACCCUUUCUACGUCGGUGCCUUGACAUGUGACUUUUUUGUCACUUCGUGCUCCAGGAUCACACCUGGAUGAACUAUCACUUUCAAAUGACCUUGUCUUUUCUCGGGCCUUCUGAACUGAUCAUCUCUUCCUUCUGAUACAAGAGGAUCUUCCCUGGAAGACCACUGCACACCUUCUAGUAACACUGCGACCCUGGAUGCAUAUUUAGAAAAAUCUCAGCACAUCUCUGGGCAAUGAAAUCAUUCUUUUGGGACCUGACACAUGAACUGAAGUGUAAUUGGCAUUCUUCGUGGAAGGGGCAUGGAUUUAAAUUGUCGUGAGUUCAAAUACCAAUCCCACCUAGCACUUACUAUACAGGUUCAGGUAUCAUGGCCUUACAUGAUAUUCAUCUGAAGCAGGAUGAGACAGAGCAGGCAGAAAAGGAAACAUUUCUGACAAUGUUCUGUUAUGAAGAAUCCACCUUUCCUAGAAGCCCCAGCAAACCUCCCAUCGGACUCAUAGGUGCAAACUGGCUGAAAGGCUCAUUCCAAGACCAAGCACAGGUACAAGGGCCAAAACUGGCUAGAACAGGCAUGACUCACCUUUUCAGCUUCUCAGUCAUCUCCUCUCAAGGGCACAGGUCUGUUUGGUUGGUUUGUGAAUAAAACUGGGGGACUGUUAUUAUGGAAGAAGCAGUGAUAAGACCCUUUCCAUAAAGAGGAGAGACGUGAACUGGCAUAUAUCACCAGGACCACCUCCAAGUAAUUG